RNAcentral lists this ribosomal RNA (220 nucleotides) under uncultured bacterium. Its description in RNAcentral is "partial 16S ribosomal RNA". It matches the Rfam family "Bacterial small subunit ribosomal RNA", at positions 30 to 244 of the family's 1533-position model. The record is from RNAcentral.
AUUGAACGCUGGCGGCAGGCCUAACACAUGCAAGUCGAACGGUAGCACAGAGAGCUUGCUCUCGGGUGACGAGUGGCGGACGGGUGAGUAAUGUCUGGGAAACUGCCUGAUGGAGGGGGUAUAACUACUGGAAACGGUAGCUAAUACCGCAUAAUGUCGCAAGACCAAAGAGGGGGGUACCUUCGGGUCCGUCUUGCCAUCAGAUGUGCCCGACGAUGGG